GCUGGCGUAGCUCAGUUGGCAGAGCAGCCGCCUUGUAAGCGGCAGGCCGUGGGUUCGAUCCCCACCGCCAGCU
This 73-nucleotide transfer RNA is filed under the name Roseisolibacter agri. It matches the Rfam family "tRNA". Rfam says of the family: Transfer RNA (tRNA) molecules are approximately 80 nucleotides in length. Their secondary structure includes four short double-helical elements and three loops (D, anti-codon, and T loops). Lineage: Bacteria; Pseudomonadati; Gemmatimonadota; Gemmatimonadia; Gemmatimonadales; Gemmatimonadaceae. RNAcentral also lists the same sequence under 1 other name. The record is from Rfam by way of RNAcentral.